Molecule: long non-coding RNA, 728 nt
Organism: Aphis gossypii (cotton aphid)
Lineage: Eukaryota; Metazoa; Arthropoda; Insecta; Hemiptera; Aphididae
Exons: 3
Source: RefSeq, a predicted model, not a curated record
CUAAAUAGGUACACUAAAAGCAUGAACUAAAAUAUCUUAUUCUUUAGACACUACUGAUCGCCCACAACCAUUAUCAAAAUUAAUUCAAAUUUCAUUCGUCAUACUCAUUCGCAAGUCUAAAUAAUGAGCUGUCAAAAUGAACAUUACAUUUGUUGACGGAUAGUCGUCACCGGCGACCUGGACAAUGAUUAUGAUGACGACCGAUGUGUCGAACGUGUUAAACAUCAGUAAGGUUAUUGUUAUAAUCGUUAUUAAAUUGGAUUUUUCGUUCUACUAAUGAAUGGGUAGUUCAUAAAUUAGUGUUGAUUAAUCCAGAUGUUAUUGUAACAGUCUACAUACCUAUAGGCAAUCGUAAAUUGAUGUUGUGAAAUAAAGUUUCUGAAAAGUGAUAAUCAAUUGCCAUUGUUGCUUAUGGACCUAUAACACAUUGCUAAUAUUAUACUAAAACACUGAGUAGCCGAUGAUCCAAGGUCUUUACCAAAAUCACUAUGUUUAGUUCCUUUCUUAUAAUAAAGAACUAAACUGUUUUUAAUUAAACAACAUAACUAAGAUGGCAAAAAAUAAACGGCCAGAUAACUCCAGGACAAUCAAAUUAGCAGCAAAGCAGUAAUUAAGGAAAAAUUCCAUCAAACAACACCAAUAACUAAGUAUACAAUCCAUAAAAACAAGAAAACACAACCUAAAGGAAAAAAUGAAAGAGACUAUAAAUAGUAUAGGUUAAUUAAAUU